GAUGAACGCUGGCGGCGUGCCUAAUACAUGCAAGUCGAGCGAACAGACGAGGAGCUUGCUCCUCUGACGUUAGCGGCGGACGGGUGAGUAACACGUGGAUAACCUACCUAUAAGACUGGGAUAACUUCGGGAAACCGGAGCUAAUACCGGAUAAUAUAUUGAACCGCAUGGUUCAAUAGUGAAAGACGGUUUUGCUGUCACUUAUAUAUGGAUCCGCGCCGCAUUAGCUAGUUGUUAAGGUAACGGCUUACCAAGGCAACGAUGCGUAGCCGACCUGAGAGGGUGAUCGGCCACACUGGAACUGAGACACGGUCCAGACUCCUACGGGAGGCAGCAGUAGGGAAUCUUCCGCAAUGGGCGAAAGCCUGACGGAGCAACGCCGCGUGAGUGAUGAAGGUCUUCGGAUCGUAAAACUCUGUUAUUAGGGAAGAACAAAUGUGUAAGUAACUAUGCACGUCUUGACGGUACCUAAUCAGAAAGCCACGGCUAACUACGUG
This 497-nucleotide ribosomal RNA is filed under the name uncultured bacterium. RNAcentral's name for it is "partial 16S ribosomal RNA". It matches the Rfam family "Bacterial small subunit ribosomal RNA", at positions 28 to 507 of the family's 1533-position model. The record is from RNAcentral.